RNAcentral lists this non-coding RNA (121 nucleotides) under Heterosigma akashiwo. Lineage: Eukaryota; Raphidophyceae; Chattonellales; Chattonellaceae. The record is from RNAcentral.
AAAAAGAGAAAGAAGUCGCUCUUCAACAACAGCAGCAAUUUGCAGAUAUGGAUAUUGGUUGAUUCAUUUGAUCUAUUAUUAUUUUUUUAGCUGCUCUUUUUUUUCUUCUUUUUUUUUUGCU